Molecule: ribosomal RNA, 305 nt
Filed under: uncultured bacterium
Lineage: Bacteria
Description: bacterial SSU rRNA
Rfam family: Bacterial small subunit ribosomal RNA
Source: RNAcentral
GUGAGCCUACGGGGGGCAGCAGUGGGGAAUACUGGGCAAUGGGCGCAAGCCUGACCCAGCAACGCCGCGUGAAGGAAGAAGGCUUUCGGGUUGUAAACUUCUUUUGUCAGGGACGAAGCAAGUGACGGUACCUGACGAAUAAGCCACGGCUAACUACGAGCCAGCAGCCGCGGUAAUACGUAGGUGGCAAGCGUUGUCCGGAUUUACUGGGCGUAAAGGGCGUGCAGCCGGGAAGACAAGUCAGAUGUGAAAUCCCGCGGCUCAACCGCGGAACUGCAGUUGAAACUGUUUUUCUUGAGUACCGG